UAACGACGUAAGAGUUUGAUCCUGGCUCAGAUUGUAACGCUGGCGGCAGGCUUAACACAUGCAAGUCGAGGCGGGAAAGGUAGCUUGCUACCUAACUUAGCGGCGGACGGGUGAGUAAUACUUAGGAAUCUGCCCUAUUAGUGGGGGACAACAGUUGGAAACGACUGCUAAUACCGCAUACGCCCUACGGGGGAAAGCAGGGGAUCUUCGGACCUUGCGCUAAUAGAUGAGCCUAAGUCAGAUUAGCUAGUUGGUGGGGUAAAGGCCUACCAAGGCGACGAUCUGUAGCGGGUCUGAGAGGAUGAUCCGCCACACUGGGACUGAGACACGGCCCAGACUCCUACGGGAGGCAGCAGUGGGGAAUAUUGGACAAUGGGGGGAACCCUGAUCCAGCCAUGCCGCGUGUGUGAAGAAGGCCUUUUGGUUGUAAAGCACUUUAAGCGAGGAGGAGGCUCCUUUAGUUAAUACCUAAAGUGAGUGGACGUUACUCGCAGAAUAAGCACCGGCUAACUCUGUGCCAGCAGCCGCGGUAAU
Molecule: ribosomal RNA, 534 nt
Filed under: uncultured bacterium
Lineage: Bacteria
Description: bacterial SSU rRNA
Rfam family: Bacterial small subunit ribosomal RNA
Source: RNAcentral